Molecule: ribosomal RNA, 591 nt
Filed under: Silusa opaca
Lineage: Eukaryota; Metazoa; Arthropoda; Insecta; Coleoptera; Staphylinidae
Description: partial 16S ribosomal RNA
Rfam family: Bacterial large subunit ribosomal RNA (bases 344-502)
Source: RNAcentral
UUUAAUGGCCGCAGUAUUUUGACUGUGCAAAGGUAGCAUAAUCAUUAGUUUUUUAAUUAAGAACUGGAAUGAAUGGUUGAACGAGAAAAUAACUGUCUCUUUAUAAUUUUUUUAGAAUUUUAUUUUUAAGUUAAAAAGCUUAAAUUUUUUUAAAAGACGAGAAGACCCUAUAGAGUUUUAUAUUAUAGGUUUAUUAUUAUUAUUUUGAAUUUAUUUAAAAUUUAUUAUUUAUAGUAUUUAAUUGGGGUGAUUAAAAAAUUUAAUAAACUUUUUUUUUAUUUUAACAUUUAUUUAUGAUUUUUUGAUCCAUUUAUUUAUGAUUAUAAGAUUAAAUUACCUUAGGGAUAACAGCGUAAUUUCUUUAAAGAGUUCUUAUCGAAAAAGAAGUUUGCGACCUCGAUGUUGGAUUAAAAUAAAUAAUUGGUGUAGAAGCUAAUUUAUUAGGUCUGUUCGACCUUUAAAAUUUUACAUGAUCUGAGUUUAAACCGGCGUGAGCCAGGUUGGUUUCUAUCUUUAAAAAUUUAAAAUAUUUUAGUACGAAAGGACCAAGUAUUUAUAAUAAUUAUUAAUUUUUAUGAAUGUUAUUAAUAU